Herpailurus yagouaroundi (jaguarundi) is the source of this 364-nucleotide long non-coding RNA. RefSeq lists it as uncharacterized. The record is from RefSeq and is a predicted model, not a curated record. Lineage: Eukaryota; Metazoa; Chordata; Mammalia; Carnivora; Felidae. The transcript is spliced from 4 exons.
CUGGCAUCUGUGACUGGACACUGUGGAUACUCUAGUGGAUAAGGUAGACAGGACCCUGCCUUAUGGACUUUACAUUUUAGUGAGGUGACUUCCAAACCAUGGCUCAAGGUGGUUGCUUGAGCUCCAUCUGUUACACCUACAUCCCAGUCAUCAAAAGGAAACAGGACAUCUUUUCGUAACCAUCAAGUUUUGAAGGAUGUGGCAAAGCUCAAGGUCCAGAUGGUAGCAGGAUUUCAAGACCCCAGUGGGAGGCAAAGAUGUUGAAGAAUAAAGAGGCACAGGUCUGUGCACAGUCCUGCUACUUCAUUGGGGUGGGGGAAAGAUGAAGGAUCACUGGGAACUUGUUUACUUAAAAAGAGCUAUU